UGAUCACUCGCGUGCUACACAUGCAGUCGACGAUGAACCUGGAGCUUGCUCUAGGGGAUUAGUGGCGAACGGGUGAGUAACACGUGAGUAACCUGCCCUUGACUCUGGGAUAACCUCCGGAAACGGAAGCUAAUACCGGAUAUGACGCACGGAGGCAUCUCCUGUGCGUGGAAAGAACUUCGGUCAAGGAUGGACUCCCAGUUUCUCAGGUAGUUGCUAACGUAAAAGCGCUCAUCAAGUCUAGGACCGGUAUAGGCUCUGGAGACGCUGAGUACCCACGCUGGUACUGAGACUCGAGCCAGACUCCCUAGGGGAGGCAGCAGUGGGGAUCAUUGCACAAUUGGGCGCAAGCGUGAUGCAGCAACGCCGCGUGAGGGAUGACGUUCUUCGGUUGCUAAACAUCUUUUAGUAGGGAAGAAGCGAAAGUGACGGUACCUGCAGAAAAAGCACCGGCUGACUACGUGCCAGCAGCCGCGGUAAUACGUAGGGUGCGAGCGUUGUCCGGAAUUAUUGGGCGUAAAGAGCUCGUAGGCGGUCUGUCGCGUCUGCUGUGAAAACCCGAGGCUCAACCUCGGGCCUGCAGUGGGUACGGGCAGACUAGAGUGCGGUAGGGGAGAAUGGAAUUCCUGGUGUAGCGGUGGAAUGCGCAGAUAUCAGGAGGAACACCGAUGGCGAAGGCAGUUCUCUGGGCCGUAACUGACGCUGAGGAGCGAAAGCGUGGGGAGCGAACAGGAUUAGAUACCCUGGUAGUCCACGCCGUAAACGUUGGGCGCUAGAUGUGGGGACCAUUCCACGGUUUCCGUGUCGCAGCUAACGCAUUAAGCGCCCCGCCUGGGGAGUACGGCCGCAAGGCUAAACCUCAAAGGAAUUGACGGGGGCCCGCACAAGCGGCGGAGCAUGCGGAUUAAUUCGAUGCAACGCGAAGAACCUUACCAAGGCUUGACAUACACGAGAACGCCCUAGAAAUAGGGAACUCUUUGGACACUCGUGAACAGGUGGUGCAUGUUAGUCGUCAGCUCGUGUCGUGAGAUGUUGGGUUAAGUCCUGCACCGAGCGCAACCCUCGUUCUAUGUUGCCAGCGCGUACUGACGGCACCUCAUAGGAGACCUGCUGGGGUCAACUCGAAGGAAGGUGGGUAUGACGUCAAUUCAUCAUGCCCCUUAUGUCUUGGGCUUCACGCAUGCUACACUGAACGCUACAAAGCGCUGCAAUUACGUAAGUUGGAGCUACUCCGCUAACGCAGCUCUCAAUUUCGGAAUUGGAAGUCUGCAACGACCUCAUGAAGUCGGAGUCGCUAGUAAUCGCAGAUCAGCAACGCUGCGGUGAAUACGUUCCCGGGCCUUGUACACACCGCCCGUCAAGUCAUGAAAGUCGGUAACACCCGAAGCCGGUGGCCCAACCCUUGUGGAGGGAGCCGUCGAAGGUGGGAUCGGUGAUUAGGACUAAGUCGUAGCAAUGAGCUUAGUAUCCC
This 1471-nucleotide ribosomal RNA is filed under the name Leifsonia shinshuensis. RNAcentral's name for it is "bacterial SSU rRNA". It matches the Rfam family "Bacterial small subunit ribosomal RNA". Lineage: Bacteria; Bacillati; Actinomycetota; Actinomycetes; Micrococcales; Microbacteriaceae. The record is from RNAcentral.